GUGGGGAAUAUUGCGCAAUGGGGGAAACCCUGACGCAGCAACGCCGCGUGGGUGACGAAGGCCUUCGGGUCGUAAAGCCCUGUCGUGGGGAAAGAAGCUCUGACGGUACCCCACAAGAAAGCCACGGCUAACUCCGUGCCAGCAGCCGCGGUAAUACGGAGGUGGCGAGCGUUGUUCGGAAUUAUUGGGCGUAAAGGGGGCGCAGGCGGCCACAUAAGUCUAUGGUGAAAGCCCUCGACUCAAUCGAGGAAUUGCCUUGGAAACUGCGUGGCUUGAGUUCGGGAGAGGAGAGCGGAAUUCCCGGUGUAGCGGUGAAAUGCGUAGAUAUCGGGAAGAACACCGGUGGCGAAGGCGGCUCUCUGGACCGAAACUGACGCUGAGGCCCGAAAGCUGGGGGAGCGAACAGG
Molecule: ribosomal RNA, 407 nt
Filed under: uncultured bacterium
Lineage: Bacteria
Description: bacterial SSU rRNA
Rfam family: Bacterial small subunit ribosomal RNA
Source: RNAcentral